AAAGUCGUAACAAGGUUUCCGUAGGUGAACCUGCGGAAGGAUCAUUAACAAUGUGCAUCCACUUAAAUUUUUCUGACCGUGACGUCCUUCUCACGUUUGCACGGCUGCCCCGUCGGCCGAGCGACAUCAUUGUAACCAUGUUAUCACAUCCAAAACUCUCAUCAUUAUAAUUAAAUCUAAAUACAACUUUCGACAACGGAUCUCUUGGCUCUC
Molecule: unclassified non-coding RNA, 213 nt
Filed under: Basidiomycota sp.
Lineage: Eukaryota; Fungi; Basidiomycota
Description: partial contains small subunit ribosomal RNA, internal transcribed spacer 1, and 5.8S ribosomal RNA
Rfam family: Eukaryotic small subunit ribosomal RNA (bases 1-47)
Source: RNAcentral